RNAcentral lists this ribosomal RNA (682 nucleotides) under Epsilonematidae sp. 632_6-1500. Its description in RNAcentral is "eukaryotic LSU rRNA". It matches the Rfam family "Eukaryotic large subunit ribosomal RNA", at positions 382 to 895 of the family's 3401-position model. The record is from RNAcentral. Lineage: Eukaryota; Metazoa; Nematoda; Chromadorea; Desmodorida; Epsilonematidae.
UGAGAGUUCAAGAGGGCGUGAAACCGCUUAGAAGCAAACAGAUGGAACUGAUGAAGAGUCGGUGUUAUUCAGCCGAUCGCGUCCACCUCAGCCUCGCGCCAGAUGUCAUGCUGGUUGUGGGUGUCUGGUGUGGCCGGUUGGUGCAUUUUCACCGAUGCGCACUGGAAGCCGUGCUUGCGCUGGAUGUAGGGCGGAGAGUGCCGACCAAGUACGUUGGUGUCCCCUCUGUGUCUGAAGCCGGGUCGCGAGUACGGUGUCGAAGGUGAGCACCCGCCUAUACUCGUGGGUGCUGUGUGCCUGGCUCGGUUGGAAGUUGGUUGCUUGCAACCCUCGGCUGGCCGCGGCCUUGUCACCUGGCGUCUGUCGAGUUGGUGCUAUUCCGGUGUUUGUGUCAGCCACCCAUCUGACCCGUCUUGAAACACGGACCAAGGAGUCUAACAUGUGCGCGAGUCAUUGGGUGGUAAAACCUAAAGGCGCAAUGAAAGUGAAGUUCAGUUUGGAUGAGCUACAUGGGAUCUUAUGCUGGAAGUGGCAGAAGCGCACCAUGGUCCCGUCCCAUGUGCUUUGUGAGAUGGGCGGAGAUAGAGCGUACAUGUUGGGACCCGAAAGAUGGUGAACUAUGCCUGAGCAGGAUGAAGCCAGAGGAAACUCUGGUGGAGGUCCGUAGCGAUUCUGACGUGCA